GGUCACCACGGUAGGAUUCAUGACUGGGGUGAAGUCGUAACAAGGUAGCCGUAUCGGAAGGUGCGGCUGGAUCACCUCCUUUCCAG
Molecule: ribosomal RNA, 86 nt
Filed under: Burkholderia latens
Lineage: Bacteria; Pseudomonadati; Pseudomonadota; Betaproteobacteria; Burkholderiales; Burkholderiaceae
Also listed under: 1 other name
Description: partial 16S ribosomal RNA
Rfam family: Bacterial small subunit ribosomal RNA
Source: RNAcentral